Molecule: unclassified non-coding RNA, 216 nt
Filed under: Hevea brasiliensis (rubber tree)
Lineage: Eukaryota; Viridiplantae; Streptophyta; Magnoliopsida; Malpighiales; Euphorbiaceae
Source: RNAcentral
GCUGCUGACACGUCUGAAUUUGUGGGCGUAUAAAUCUGAUCAGAAUUCUUGCACUGCAUAUCUUCUGGAAUGCUAGAGUACCAAAGCUGAUAGAAUAUCAAGCCAAUGAUCACAUGGAACAUUGGGUGACCCUCAAAUCCGUGUUCUCGCAUCAGACUUCUAGCAUUCUGACGUUCACCUUCAAUGUUCCCCUGCAUAAGAUGGAUAAUUAUCGAC